Molecule: long non-coding RNA, 380 nt
Organism: Parus major (Great Tit)
Lineage: Eukaryota; Metazoa; Chordata; Aves; Passeriformes; Paridae
Exons: 3
Source: RefSeq, a predicted model, not a curated record
GAUAGCAAGGAAACAAAUUUAUGGGCAUGCACCAUGUUUUACAACCUCUUCUGGAUGAGAUCAGAUAUGGAUCAAAGGAAAGGAGUGAAGACUGCCUGCCUCUAUCACAUAAAAUUUUCUUGUGGAUGGGAAGCAUCUUUGCAUAGGGAGUCAGAGCAUUUGCAAAGAUUGCUGGUGAAAUUGAGGACUCAAUUCUACUCAGAUGUCAGAGCACUGAAGAUACUGGAAUCGGCUGGAAUAAACUUUCUAAGCAUUUGAAGCACUAGAAAGCAAGCAUUCUUUACCCGUGCAGGACACACAGAGGAUAUAUUUAUUUUUUUUUAAUUCUGUGUGUUUUGUGAGGCUUUACAGCAAGGUAUUUAUCCAUCUUAACCAUACAU